AGUGAACGCUGGCGGUAGGCCUAACACAUGCAAGUCGAACGGCAGCACAGUAAGAGCUUGCUCUUACGGGUGGCGAGUGGCGGACGGGUGAGGAAUACAUCGGAAUCUACUUUUUCGUGGGGGAUAACGUAGGGAAACUUACGCUAAUACCGCAUACGACCUACGGGUGAAAGCAGGGGAUCUUCGGACCUUGCGCGAUUGAAUGAGCCGAUGUCGGAUUAGCUAGUUGGCGGGGUAAAGGCCCACCAAGGCGACGAUCCGUAGCUGGUCUGAGAGGAUGAUCAGCCACACUGGAACUGAGACACGGUCCAGACUCCUACGGGAGGCAGCAGUGGGGAAUAUUGGACAAUGGGCGCAAGCCUGAUCCAGCCAUACCGCGUGGGUGAAGAAGGCCUUCGGGUUGUAAAGCCCUUUUGUUGGGAAAGAAAAGAAGCAUGUUAAUACCCCGCUGUUCUGACGGUACCCAAAGAAUAAGCAACGGCUAACUUCGUG
This 492-nucleotide ribosomal RNA is filed under the name uncultured bacterium. RNAcentral's name for it is "partial 16S ribosomal RNA". It matches the Rfam family "Bacterial small subunit ribosomal RNA", at positions 29 to 507 of the family's 1533-position model. The record is from RNAcentral.